UCCGUCAGCAUUUGGGGAAGAGGCCGAGGAGGUCUUUCAAAUUAGGUUUGAGUUAUCUCCUCCAUACGUUUUAAUCGGAGCAAAAGUGGCUUGCGCGUUGUAAACAAAAGUAAUUACGGCAGACGGGGAUCCGUGUCGCAAAUGAGACGUUUCCGCCUCCCACGGACCAGUCUGAAGUGCCACGAAGCAGAACGGUUUAAUUAGGGGGAGACGGCACCGCAAAUAUUGCAGGGGAUGGGAGACAAAGACAAUAAUCUUUUUGCCUGACUCAACGUGCUAAACGGCAGAUAGCAGCAGCCUUGGCGUCCACUCAACUCCGUGCACUUGGGGCUGCUUGGCCAGAGAGGGAAGAAGGUCUUUGCUGGAGCUUCUUUAAUACAUCGCGUACAGUAUGACGUGUCAUGAACGUGGGACGGUUUCUCAUUAGCCGCCACUUCCAGACAGCCUGAAGCAAAUCUACAGACAGCAACUCGGCAUCAAUUAGUAAAGAGAUCACACUUCUUCAAACCAUACGCAGAAUGUCGACACGUCCUUCGUACUUCUUUCAUCGACAAGCCCUUCAUCCCUAAAUCCCAGCUGGAAUUCUCUCGCAGGUUCUGCCACUUUCUCACUGCAGACGGGUACAAAAGAAGAGCCAAUAAUUAAGCGCUGAAGUCUAGACCGGUUUUCUGAACAAGGCCACAAGCAAAUUUACCCAGUGACACCUGCUGCCAGUUGCUGAGCUUUCCAUUGGACUGUUAAUCAGUUCCCCAACUUGCGGUGAGGCGCCAAGACCUUGCAGAGGCGUGUUGUAUGAGCCUCUGUGAUUUUCAGGCCACAAAUAGACCUCUAGUCUAUUAUAAGGAUAACAAGGCAUUUUGAUUGCUGCAAAUCAUUGCAUCCACAGAGCAUUAGAUCUGAAAUGACAGCACGGCAUGCAACAGCCCUCCCAAUUAGCGAGGCUUCACUAUCC
Molecule: long non-coding RNA, 952 nt
Organism: Scleropages formosus (Asian bonytongue)
Lineage: Eukaryota; Metazoa; Chordata; Actinopteri; Osteoglossiformes; Osteoglossidae
Exons: 3
Source: RefSeq, a predicted model, not a curated record